RNAcentral lists this ribosomal RNA (492 nucleotides) under uncultured bacterium. RNAcentral describes it as "partial 16S ribosomal RNA". It matches the Rfam family "Bacterial small subunit ribosomal RNA", at positions 29 to 507 of the family's 1533-position model. The record is from RNAcentral.
AGUGAACGCUGGCGGUAGGCCUAACACAUGCAAGUCGAACGGCAGCACAGUAAGAGCUUGCUCUUACGGGUGGCGAGUGGCGGACGGGUGAGGAAUACAUCGGAAUCUACUUUUUCGUGGGGGAUAACGUAGGGAAACUUACUCUAAUACCGCAUACGACCUACGGGUGAAAGCAGUGGAUCUUCGGACCUUGCGCGAUUGAAUGAGCCGAUGUCGGAUUAGCUAGUUGGCGGGGUAAAGGCCCACCAAGGCGACGAUCCGUAGCUGGUCUGAGAGGAUGAUCAGCCACACUGGAACUGAGACACGGUCCAGACUACUACGGGAGGCAGCAGUGGGGAAUAUUGGACAAUGGGGGCAAGCCUGAUCCAGCCAUACCGCGUGGGUGAAGAAGGCCUUCGGGUUGUAAAGCCCUUUUGUUGGGAAAGAAAAGCAGCAGGUUAAUACCCCGCUGUUCUGACGGUACCCAAAGAAUAAGCACCGGCUAACUUCGUG